RNAcentral lists this long non-coding RNA (1227 nucleotides) under Mytilus galloprovincialis (Mediterranean mussel). Lineage: Eukaryota; Metazoa; Mollusca; Bivalvia; Mytilida; Mytilidae. The record is from RNAcentral.
AAGAGCUACUGAAUUGAAACAUAGAUAACAAACGAAAAACGGCAUAUUAAGAUCAGUUGACUAUUGAGAAGCAAACGAUUAAAACUUGAGCUGAAAAGGUAAGUUCCUAUAUAUUUAACAGAAAUCCUCCUAUCUUUAAAGAUGUAUACAGAAAUUAAACUUUGAAUGUCAAAAAGAAGAUACAAAAUAAUGAAAAUUAGUAAUGAGACAGCAAGGACACUUGUAAUCCUAAAAUGGUAAUAAUUUUAUAGUACUUUAAAAAAUCAAAGAAGUGAUAUGGACGAAAAUACAAUUUUUGAAAUGAAAUCGUGUAAAAAAAGUGGCUUGUUGUCCAACUUUAAAAUAAAACUACAGUCAAACCUUUGUUAAGAGACACCUUAAGGGAGAGCAAGAAAGUGGUCUCUUAAGAAAAUAGGUCUUUUGAUACAGGUUAUUUAUAUAAAAUGUACUACAGAGGGAUUUAAAAUUUGUGGUCUUUAAACACAGGGUUUUGCUUAAUACAGGUGGCCUCUAAAGCAGAUUUGAUUGUAUGUUUAUAGUGACAUCUUUCUCAAUGAAGCAUGCAUAAUGCAGACAUGACCACGUGCUUGUUUUGGAUAAUAAAAAAAUGUAAAAUAUAUAAGUUUGAAAUAUAUGGUUUUAUGGUUUAAAUGGAACAGCAAUAUAACAAACAUGCAGCUAUUAACACUAACUGUAAUAAAUCAAGUAAUUGCCAUCAAAUUUGCUUGAAACAAUAUUUUAACAAGAGCAAUAUGUACUUUGUAUUUCAGAUCUCUAGAUUCCAACAAUAAGGAUGUAUUUUUCAAACGAAAGCCACAGCAACAUUUAUCUGAAGGAACUUAACAAUGCUAUGAUUAAGUUAUUAAUACCAAACACUGUACUGUUAUUUGCGUUUCUAUUCGCCAGCCUCGCUGGAAAUGGCUUAGUUUUGUACGUUUAUACAUUCAAACUUAAAUCAAAAACGGACGACAGAUAUUUCAUUCCAUGUUUAGCUUUUGUUGAUAUUAUAACAUGUAGUACUGGCGCAUCAUUUCUCAUUUCAUUGAAUUUCAAUCCUUUAAAUUUUCGAAAUGACUUGAUAUGUAAAUUGAUCUGGAGUUUAAAUCAUUCAAUUGCCCUAAUUUCGGCUCUGUUGCUAUUAGCAAUUGCUGUGCAACGAUAUAUUAAGGUGAGUCGACUAUUAAACUCUUCCAUGAGUCUGAGAAGUAAACGAUUGACAAUUACAGC